RNAcentral lists this ribosomal RNA (511 nucleotides) under Escherichia coli. Its description in RNAcentral is "partial 23S ribosomal RNA". It matches the Rfam family "Bacterial large subunit ribosomal RNA", at positions 2203 to 2713 of the family's 2925-position model. Lineage: Bacteria; Pseudomonadati; Pseudomonadota; Gammaproteobacteria; Enterobacterales; Enterobacteriaceae. The record is from RNAcentral.
CCCUUUAAUGUUUGAUGUUCUAACGUGGACCCGUAAUCCGGGUUGCGGACAGUGUCUGGUGGGUAGUUUGACUGGGGCGGUCUCCUCCUAAAGAGUAACGGAGGAGCACGAAGGUUGGCUAAUCCUGGUCGGACAUCAGGAGGUUAGUGCAAUGGCAUAAGCCAGCUUGACUGCGAGCGUGACGGCGCGAGCAGGUGCGAAAGCAGGUCAUAGUGAUCCGGUGGUUCUGAAUGGAAGGGCCAUCGCUCAACGGAUAAAAGGUACUCCGGGGAUAACAGGCUGAUACCGCCCAAGAGUUCAUAUCGACGGCGGUGUUUGGCACCUCGAUGUCGGCUCAUCACAUCCUGGGGCUGAAGUAGGUCCCAAGGGUAUGGCUGUUCGCCAUUUAAAGUGGUACGCGAGCUGGGUUUAGAACGUCGUGAGACAGUUCGGUCCCUAUCUGCCGUGGGCGCUGGAGAAUUGAGGGGGGCUGCUCCUAGUACGAGAGGACCGGAGUGGACGCAUCACUGGU